RNAcentral lists this ribosomal RNA (344 nucleotides) under uncultured bacterium. RNAcentral describes it as "bacterial SSU rRNA". It matches the Rfam family "Bacterial small subunit ribosomal RNA", at positions 917 to 1267 of the family's 1533-position model. The record is from RNAcentral.
GGGCCCGCACAAGCAGUGGAGCAUGUGGUUUAAUUCGAUGCAACGCGAAGAACCUUACCAGGGCUUGACAUACUACAAAUCUUUUAGAGAUAAAAGAGUGCUUUCGAGAAUGUAGAUACAGGUGGUGCAUGGCUGUCGUCAGCUCGUGUCGUGAGAUGUUGGUUAAGUCCCGCAACGAGCGCAACCCUCGUUUUUAGUUACCAAUUUAUUGAGAAGUUAGAAAGACUGCCGGUGACAAACCGGAGGAAGGUGAGGAUGACGUCAAGUCAGCAUGCCCCUUAUGUCCUGGGCUACACACGUGCUACAAUGAUGGGGACAAAGAGUUGCCAAUCUGCGAAGAUGAG